RNAcentral lists this small RNA (76 nucleotides) under Nematostella vectensis (starlet sea anemone). Its description in RNAcentral is "Flavo-1 RNA". It matches the Rfam family "Flavo-1 RNA". Lineage: Eukaryota; Metazoa; Cnidaria; Anthozoa; Actiniaria; Edwardsiidae. The record is from Rfam by way of RNAcentral.
AGCUAACCCUGAUGGAAACAGCAUCCUUUGCAACCUUUAAACGGUUGCAAAGAUAGCGUGGACAGCAGGAAUAGGG